UUAACUAUUUUAUAGUACUCAGACGACACUAAUAUUCAGAGUUUAAAGAUCCUCUGGCGGUUAUCCAGGCAAGUUAACGUCCGGAACAAUCCGCCAAAGCAACAGAUAGUUAUAUUUACAAGGGUGGAGAUCUACCCAGAAGGGCAUGAACUCUGUAAUGAUCCUUCCGCAGGUUCACCUACGGAAA
This 187-nucleotide unclassified non-coding RNA is filed under the name uncultured fungus. RNAcentral describes it as "sequence contains ITS1". Lineage: Eukaryota; Fungi. The record is from RNAcentral.